GAAACGAGUGUGAUGUCUUGAGGACUUUUCCUGGAAUACCCAUUUUUACCUUCGCCGUUUAUAAGCAUGAUAAUUCCAUCGUCAUAUCACUAUCAAGUGGUUUGGAUGAGUACAAUGAUGCCAUGAUGCCUCCAUGGCGCGACAAACGUGCCUGAGAUUCUUCAUUAAUAUUGUUCUUUGGCUGACAGAUAGUCAACCAACAAAUUGGCCCACUGUCAGCCAUUGAUCAGGCAACAGUCCACUGAAUGUUGUUUGACACUUUUCAUGAAGGUUGUGGUUUCUCAAUGCAGUUUGUGUAAGGAAAAAGUCAAACACCCACAGAUGGCCAGAGUUACGACAUGCUUUAAUGUGUCUCAAUUUGUCAAGAGUGGGGGAAGGGUGGGGGAGGGGAGAAGAAGCGACAUAGAGAUCAGAAUAGAGAAAAGAAAGAGUAGAAUACAACCAAUAGUUAUGAGCACAGAGCGGAAAAUUUAAGAAAAACCAAGGCACCUGUUUAGCAAGCCAAGAAGAAAAGAAUUCAGAAGACCAACGAGGUGGCCCACCACAUGCUAGACCUGAGGACUUUUAAUGUGGAGAUAUGAGAGUAAACAAAGGGGAGGAUGGAAGGAUUAGCAGGGGAAGGAUUAGCAGGGUAUAGAUUAUUAUGAAAAAGAUUAGAUGUGUUGUUAGAUGCCAGGUAACGAUAACAAGUGAAUUCACAACAGACUGUGUGAAAAAUUCAAACACUUUGAUCUAGCCACUAAAAUAACCAUGAUUAAACACUGUUUAAAAAAAGGCAACUAAUUUGAAUAACUAUUGUUCUGGACUGACCACCCUCCUAUACAUGUGAAAACGCUUUUAUGUUUCCAUGUGAACAUAGGGCUAGUCAGUACAGAAGCAUAGUUAUUCAAAUUGAUCGCCAUAUUUUGAUUCAAUGUAUAAAACACAAGCUAGUAUUAAAUAAUGAGACAUUAAACUAAUUAAAUUAAACAAUGGGUGGAUACUGCUAUCUGAUGGAUAAACCUUAUUCAGUGGAUUAAUGAUUAUUAUUAAUCAUUAUCAAUUAUUCAUUGGAUAACAGCUUCGACUUAUCCACUGGAUAAGGAUUUAUCCAUGGGAUAUUGCUAUCGACCCUUCGUACACUUCGUCUAGAUGUCUACCAUAUAUACCUUAUU
Actinia tenebrosa (Australian red waratah sea anemone) is the source of this 1154-nucleotide long non-coding RNA. RefSeq lists it as uncharacterized. NCBI's taxonomy places the organism in Eukaryota, Metazoa, Cnidaria, Anthozoa, Actiniaria, Actiniidae. The record is from RefSeq and is a predicted model, not a curated record.